AACAUCGCCUCCUGCAAAGAUCAACGUAUAGGAGGUCCUGCCUGCCCAGUGACAACUAGUUAAACGGCCGCGGUAUUUUGACCGUGCUAAGGUAGCGCAAUCACUUGUCUUUUAAAUGAAGACCUGUAUGAAUGGUGGAACGAGGGCUUAACUGUCUCCCUUCUCCGGUCAAUGAAAUUGAUCUGCCCGUGCAGAAGCGGACAUACAUAUACAAGACGAGAAGACCCUUUGGAGCUUAUUGGGGCGACCGCGGGGGAAAAUAGAGCCCCCAUGUACAACCAAGAGAGACAUCUCUAAGCUACAGAACAUCUGACCAAAAGAUCCGGCAUACAAGCCGAUCAACGAACCAAGUUACCCUAGGGAUAACAGCGCAAUCCCCUCCAAGAGUUCAUAUCGACGAGAGGGUUUACGACCUCGAUGUUGGAUCAGGACAUCCUAAUGGUGCAGCCGCUAUUAAGGGUUCGUUUGUUCAACGAUUAAAGUCCUACGUGAUCU
RNAcentral lists this ribosomal RNA (495 nucleotides) under Curimata roseni. Its description in RNAcentral is "partial 16S ribosomal RNA". It matches the Rfam family "Bacterial large subunit ribosomal RNA", at positions 1812 to 2606 of the family's 2925-position model. The record is from RNAcentral. Lineage: Eukaryota; Metazoa; Chordata; Actinopteri; Characiformes; Curimatidae.